GCCCCCGUAUCCCAAUCGGCAGAGGAAGCGGUCUCAAAAUCCGUCCAGUGUCAGUUCGAGUCUGACCGGGGGCACCA
RNAcentral lists this transfer RNA (77 nucleotides) under Nakamurella endophytica. Its description in RNAcentral is "tRNA-Leu". It matches the Rfam family "tRNA". From Rfam's summary of the family: Transfer RNA (tRNA) molecules are approximately 80 nucleotides in length. The record is from RNAcentral. RNAcentral also lists the same sequence under 1 other name. Lineage: Bacteria; Bacillati; Actinomycetota; Actinomycetes; Nakamurellales; Nakamurellaceae.